This 497-nucleotide ribosomal RNA is filed under the name uncultured bacterium. RNAcentral describes it as "partial 16S ribosomal RNA". It matches the Rfam family "Bacterial small subunit ribosomal RNA", at positions 28 to 507 of the family's 1533-position model. The record is from RNAcentral.
GAUGAACGCUGGCGGCGUGCCUAAUACAUGCAAGUCGAGCGAACAGACGAGGAGCUUGCUCCUCUUACGUUAGCGGCGGACGGGUGAGUAACACGUGGAUAACCUACCUAUAAGACUGGGAUAACUUCGGGAAACCGGAGCUAAUACCGGAUAAUAUAUUGAACCGCAUGGUUCAAUAGUGAAAGACGGUUUUGCUGUCACUUAUAGAUGGAUCCGCGCCGCAUUAGCUAGUUGGUAAGUUAACGGCUUACCAAGGCAACGAUGCGUAGCCGACCUGAGAGGGUGAUCGGCCACACUGGAACUGAGACACGGUCCAGACUCCUACGGGAGGCAGCAGUAGGGAAUCUUCCGCAAUGGGCGAAAGCCUGACGGAGCAACGCCGCGUGAGUGAUGAAGGUCUUCGGAUCGUAAAACUCUGUUAUUAGGGAAGAACAAAUGUGUAAGUAACUAUGCACGUCUUGACGGUACCUAAUCAGAAAGCCACGGCUAACUACGUG